RNAcentral lists this ribosomal RNA (865 nucleotides) under uncultured Neocallimastigales. RNAcentral's name for it is "partial large subunit ribosomal RNA". It matches the Rfam family "Eukaryotic large subunit ribosomal RNA", at positions 22 to 644 of the family's 3401-position model. Lineage: Eukaryota; Fungi; Neocallimastigomycota; Neocallimastigomycetes; Neocallimastigales. The record is from RNAcentral.
CUAUACAUGACUCUGCGCAUAUCAAUAAGCGGAGGAAAAGAAACUAACAAGGAUUCCCUUAGUAACGGCGAGUGAAGCGGGAAGAGCUCAAAUUUGAAAUCUUCAAGGUUCUACCUUGACGAAUCGUAGUUUAUAGAAGUGUUUUCUGUUAGUAGAGUGGCAAAAGUUCUUUGGAAUAGGACAUCAUAGAGGGUGAGAAUCCCGUAUUUGGUCAUUCUUUCUAGCUUUGUGAUACACUUUCAACGAGUCGGAUUGUUUGGGAAUGCAGUCCAAAAUGGGUGGUAAAUUUCAUCUAAAGCUAAAUAUUGGCGAGAGACCGAUAGCGAACAAGUACCGUGAGGGAAAGAUGAAAAGAACUUUGAAAGGAGAGUUAAACAGUACGUGAAAUUGUCAAAAGGGAAGCGCUUGACACCAGUGUUGUUUAGUUGAAAAUCAAUUCAAUAAUUUUUGAUUUUGAGUAGUAUUGACUUCAUUAGCUUGCUGCUUUCUUUUCGGAAAUUAUCGAAUGCACUUUUCAGUUAACAAGUCAACAUCAAUUUCUUUUGCUGUAAAAGGGUAAGAGGAAGGUGGCUUACGCUUCGGCGUAAGUGUUUAUAGCCUUUUACCUCUGCAAUCGGAGAGAUUGAGGACAGCAGCGUAGACUCUUCGGGGUUAGAUACACUUGUGCUAAGCUAUAGCCUUGUAUAGACAACUUGUUGACUAUGCUCAGUCAUGUAGCUUACUCGCUUGUGCUAUUUUACCUACGCUUAGGAUGUUGAAGAUAUGCGCGACACGACCCUAUACAUGACUCUGUGCAUAUCAAUAAGCGGAGGAAAAGCAUAACAUGUAUACCUACGCUUAGGAUGUUGAAGAUAUGCGCGACACG